UACGUGGGGUGCAAGCGUUGUCCGGAAUUAUUGGGCGUAAAGAGCUCGUAGGCGGCCUGUCGCGUCGGCUGUGAAAACCCGAGGCUCAACCUCGGGCCUGCAGUCGAUACGGGCAGGCUAGAGUUCGGUAGGGGAGACUGGAAUUCCUGGUGUAGCGGUGAAAUGCGCAGAUAUCAGGAGGAACACCGGUGGCGAAGGCGGGUCUCUGGGCCGAAACUGACGCUGAGGAGCGAAAGCGUGGGGAGCGAACAGG
Molecule: ribosomal RNA, 253 nt
Filed under: uncultured bacterium
Lineage: Bacteria
Description: partial 16S ribosomal RNA
Rfam family: Bacterial small subunit ribosomal RNA
Source: RNAcentral